UUUUGCAUAUCCCAAUAGCGGAGGAAAAGAAACCAACAGGGAUUGCCUCAGUUAGCGGCGAGUGAAGCGGCAAGAGCUCAGAUUUGAAAUCGUGCUUUGCGGCACGAGUUGUAGAUUGCAGGUUGGAGUCUGUGUGGAAGGCGGUGUCCAAGUCCCUUGGAACAGGGCGCCCAGGAGGGUGAGAGCCCCGUGGGAUGCCGGCGGAAGCAGUGAGGCCCUUCUGACGAGUCGAGUUGUUUGGGAAUGCAGCUCCAAGCGGGUGGUAAAUUCCAUCUAAGGCUAAAUACUGGCGAGAGACCGAUAGCGAACAAGUACUGUGAAGGAAAGAUGAAAAGCACUUUGAAAAGAGAGUGAAACAGCACGUGAAAUUGUUGAAAGGGAAGGGUAUUGCGCCCGACAUGGGGAUUGCGCACCGCUGCCUCUCGUGGGCGGCGCUCUGGGCUUUCCCUGGGCCAGCAUCGGUUCUUGCUGCAGGAGAAGGGGUUCUGGAACGUGGCUCUUCGGAGUGUUAUAGCCAGGGCCAGAUGCUGCGUGCGGGGACCGAGGACUGCGGCCGUGUAGGUCACGGAUGCUGGCAGAACGGCGCAACACCGCCCGUCUUAAAAACCCGGGACCAAA
RNAcentral lists this ribosomal RNA (618 nucleotides) under Saccharomyces cerevisiae (brewer's yeast). RNAcentral describes it as "LSU rRNA". It matches the Rfam family "Eukaryotic large subunit ribosomal RNA", at positions 34 to 664 of the family's 3401-position model. Lineage: Eukaryota; Fungi; Ascomycota; Saccharomycetes; Saccharomycetales; Saccharomycetaceae. The record is from RNAcentral.